CAGACACAGUGCUCUCUCUGGGUCCUCCUCCUGCAGCUUCCACAAGCUACUGGGCCACCACUCCCACCGCUGCCCCAGGGGUGUAAGAGAAAGCCACUGUGACAUCUCACCAAGGAGUGUCACCUCACAGAGAUUGACAUGCCCUGGAGUGGGAACCAGGCAGCAUGCCUGGCAACCUUGCUGGCCCCAAAACACAGCAUGUUCUUGUGAGGCACUGCGCUCCAGAGCAGACACGUUCCGUGGCAGCAUUGUCUUAGUGAUGGGGGACUCCUCUGUCCUCCUGACUGGUGGCCUGCUCCCAGAAGGAAGGAGGAGAAUAGAGGAGGAAAUUACUGCCUGAGCAGAGAACUCCAAGUCACUGCACAGUUGGAUAUGUUUGGUCUCUCCUUUAGAAAAAGUUCUCUUUCUUUAGAUGGCACAGAGCAAGCAAGAAAGGAACUCUUCUGGGGGCUCUUACCUAAGACAAGGGACUGAAAAGACACAAAGGUGUACAAGGAGAGGCUGGACUGUGCUCGAAUUUGUGAUCAUCCAGAUACAUGCAAACAUCUCAAGAAGAAAUCCAGAUUAUAAAUCCUGUGUAAACAUCUCACUUGCCAAUGUGGAGUCCCAGGAGCAUGCAUAUAUUGUUUUUAGUGUGACCGCACCGUGCAGCUGUAUGGAUCCUUCAGGGAUAGGAAGGAUGGGAAUUAUCUGACAUGUUUUCCAGAUACUUCAACAAGUUUGAAGUUCUUCAGACCUAAGAGCACCCAGUCUGUAAGUUAAUCAUUGAUAUGUCCUCAGCUGUUGGUGAAGACAAAGAUCUGUUGUAAAUUAAAGCACUUUUUGCCAUAAGUUUACGUGACUUUACUGCUAUCCAUACCCUCUCUCAUGUGAGUCCUCAUACUGAGCUUUGGAGUGUGCUUUUUGUGUAUGUUUGUAACUGACUCUUUCAUUCGACUUUCAUUAUAUCUGACAGGGAAAUAAAUGACCAUUUUAUCAAAGUCUGUGAAUUCA
This 993-nucleotide long non-coding RNA is filed under the name Numida meleagris (helmeted guineafowl). RNAcentral's name for it is "lncRNA (ENSNMEG00000005500.1)". Lineage: Eukaryota; Metazoa; Chordata; Aves; Galliformes; Numididae. The record is from RNAcentral.